CCUACGGGUGGCAGCAGUGAGGAAUAUUGGGCAAUGGAGGCAACUCUGACCCAGCCAUGCCGCGUGAGUGAAGAAGGUUUUCGGAUUGUAAAGCUCUUUCGGAUGUGACGAUGAUGACGGUAGCAUCUAAAGAAGCCCCGGCUAACUUCGUGCCAGCAGCCGCGGUAAUACGAAGGGGGCAAGCGUUGUUCGGAAUUACUGGGCGUAAAGGGAGUGUAGGCGGUUUAGUAAGAUAGUGGUGAAAUCCCAGGGCUUAACUUUGGAAUUGCCAUUAUAACUAUUAGACUAGAAUUACAGAGAGGAUAGUGGAAUACCCAGUGUAGAGGUGAAAUUCGUAGAUAUUGGGUAGAACACCAGUGGCGAAGGCGGGUUGCUAGACUGUAACUGACACUGAGGCACGAAAGCGUGGGGAGCAAACAGGAUUAGAUACCCUGGUAGUC
This 440-nucleotide ribosomal RNA is filed under the name uncultured bacterium. RNAcentral describes it as "partial 16S ribosomal RNA". It matches the Rfam family "Bacterial small subunit ribosomal RNA", at positions 338 to 795 of the family's 1533-position model. The record is from RNAcentral.